AAACCAUGCUGUGGACACUUCCGCAAUAGGUCCUUGAAUCAUUCCCAUGUCUCAUACAAGGAUUCAUGCUCCAUCUGUACAAACGACGAUAUUUCAUUACGAAGCUU
Molecule: small nucleolar RNA, 107 nt
Organism: Dioscorea cayenensis subsp. rotundata (Guinea yam)
Lineage: Eukaryota; Viridiplantae; Streptophyta; Magnoliopsida; Dioscoreales; Dioscoreaceae
Source: RefSeq, a predicted model, not a curated record